CUCACAGGCAGAGAUAGAGGCACGGCUGGCUGCGCUAAAGGAUGAACGUCAGGGUUCCAUCCCUUCCACCCAGGAAAUGGAGGAACGACUUGCAGCAUUGCAGGGCAGAGUUCUACCUUCUCAAACCCCCCAGCCGGCACAUCACAUACCAGACACCAGGACCCAAGCCCAGCAGACACAGGAUCUGCUAACACAGCUGGCAUCUGAGGUGGCUAUCGAUGAAAGCUGGAAAAGAGGAGGCCCAGGUAACCCCUCCACUUGGCUCCCUAGGAAUCUUCCCCACCUCUUUCCCCAGACUGGAGAGGCUCUGCUGUCCACCCUCUGGGAGAUGAAUAUAAAUCAGAGAGUGAUCAACAUUAUAAGAGUUACCAUUCAUUGAGUGCUUACUCCAAAGGGAGCCAGUGUAAGCCUAGUGUUUAAGUGCACAGGCUUUAGAAUCAGACAGUGAUUCCCAGUUCUACCACGUAUUAGCUGUGUGAUGCUGGACAAGUUACUUGACCUAAGUCUCACUUUCCUCAUGUGUAAAAUGAAGGUAUGUAUGGAAAAACCUGCCUCACAGGGA
Molecule: small RNA, 562 nt
Filed under: Pongo abelii (Sumatran orangutan)
Lineage: Eukaryota; Metazoa; Chordata; Mammalia; Primates; Hominidae
Description: retained intron
Source: RNAcentral